Molecule: small RNA, 1070 nt
Filed under: Pongo abelii (Sumatran orangutan)
Lineage: Eukaryota; Metazoa; Chordata; Mammalia; Primates; Hominidae
Description: processed transcript
Source: RNAcentral
UGAGACAGAUGUUCGUCCAGCGAGUCAAAGAGAAAGAAGCGGAGCUCAAAGAGGCAGAGAAAGAGCUGCACGAGAAGUUUGACCGUCUGAAGAAACUGCACCAGGACGAGAAGAAGAAACUAGAGGAUAAGAAGAAAUCCCUGGAUGAUGAAGUGAAUGCUUUCAAGCAAAGAAAGACGGCGGCCGAGCUGCUCCAGUCCCAGGGCUCCCAGGCUGGAGGCUCACAGACUCUGAAGAGAGACAAAGAGAAGAAAAACUCUUACUGUUUUACAGUUAACUCUGCUGUUUGCUGCAUGCUGCAUGAGACCCAGGGUCCUGUUUGGGCUUCCUGUAGACACCCUUUUCCUGCGCAACAGAGCUGGGCCUCCCUUUCUCUAAUUUCCCCCUUAACAUGCCUGGGGGGCAUACAAUCCAACCCGCGCCCUCUCCUCUCUUCCUGCCAAGGUUUAUAGAAACCUGAGAAUCUGAGGGUGAUGUCUGGCCGCUGGUCAAGAAGCCAGCUGGUCAAGAAGUCAUGUGGCUCACAGAUGCAUCCUGCAUCCCAGUCCCCCUCCCAGCACCCGCAGCCAUCCCCCUUGUCUUCCCCCACAUCUUUGCCAGAGGUGUGACAUGGUCAGGGGGCCCAUCUGCUACUCUUCCCCACCAGCUCCCCUGUUCCAGUUCUGGUUGCUGUUAGUUUCCCUGAGGUAUUUGCAACCACCAUGGCUGGGUAAGCACCGAUCAGCACAGCUGUCCCCUUGGUCUCCUGUAUCCCAGUCACUAGUCUUCCCUGGUCCACCCCACCCUCAUCCUCAGGAGCCACAGCCAUUUCUUAGAGGGUUUCAAAAGGACAGCCUUUGGCGCCUUUUCCUUCUAACCUUUGAGUCCAGCCCUUUCCAGUUUUCAUUCACUCGAAGUAACUGCACUCAAGCUGUGCUCAAAAUCUGCAACGCAUUUAUUUACACCAAGCCCUUCCCAUAAAACACAACUGCUGAAGAAAAUAGCAGACGUUUCCCCUCUCUCUAACUCUGGGUAUCCCACAGAUGCAAAAGGGAGAAUAAACCUGAAUAUUAUUACCAGCCUAGAGUCUU